UGGUGUUUCAGUCCUUCUCAGCUGGUC
This 27-nucleotide non-coding RNA is filed under the name Mus musculus (house mouse). The record is from RNAcentral. Lineage: Eukaryota; Metazoa; Chordata; Mammalia; Rodentia; Muridae.